AAUGGGAUUCUCUCUUCAGCUUCAAGAUGUCACAGUUUUCGGCAUUCUUUUUGCAAUUAUCUGUCUGUGGUUGGUUAAUGCCAAAGGCAACAAGAACAAAGGCAGAAGCCCACCAGAGCCCUCCGGGGCAUGGCCUGUAAUGGGUCACCUUCAUCUUCUAGGAGCAGACAAGCCACUACAUAGGACAUUUGGAGCCAUGGCUGAUGAGUAUGGACCAAUCUUCUCCAUUCGUCUUGGCCUUCGAACAGCUCUGGUGGUUAGUAGCUCGGAAGUAGCAAAAGAAUGUUACACUACCAAGGACAAGGCACUCGCCAACCGACCAAGAUCCUUAGCAGUAAAGCUCAUGGGCUAUGAACAUGCCAUGUUUGCGUUUGAACGUCACGGUCCAUACUGGCGUGAUGUGCGGAGGCUAGCCAUGGUUGAGCUCCUCUCCAACCGCCAGCACGAGAUGCUCAAGCAUGUCCGGGACUCAGAAGUCACGUUUUUCAUCCAAGAGCUCUAUGGGCAAUGGGUAGAUAAUGGAGGCAGCCCUGUUUUGGUGGACAUGAAGAAAAAGUUUGAGCACCUGGUAGCAAAUUUGGUGAUGAGAACAGUUGCUGGGAAACGGUGUGGAAAUGGCGAGUCAAGAUGGUGCCAAGCCCUAGGUGAUUUCAUGAAUCUAAUGGGGCAAUUUAUGGUUUCUGAUGCAGUACCCUUCCUUGGAUGGUUAGACACAGUGAGGGGAUAUACAGCAAAAAUGAAGGGAACAGCUAGGCAGUUGGAUCAGGUUAUUGGAAGAUGGGUGGAGGAGCAUCGUCAGAAGAGGCUUUCCGGAAGCAUCAAUGAGGCUGAGCAAGACUUCAUUCACGCCAUGCUGUCUGUUAUAGAUGAUGCUCAGUUCUCUGGCCAUGACCAUGACCAUGAUACUGUCAUCAAAGCCACUUGCUUGGUAUGUUUCUACUACUUCAUAACACCACCAUCCUCAUGAGCAUCUGCAACUUCAUCAAGACCUUGAUAAUACUCGUAUUACUACAUCAUGAUCUAUUUUUUCCUUCUGCUAUACAGUAUUUCAGGACUAUUGAAGUAACUCUGUUUGUUUCUUUGACAAAAAUUGCCGUGACCAUUCCCUAAGGAAACAGCAGACAGAAUUCAUAAAUUAGGCUGGAAUAUAACAGGAACUGGGAUAAUUUUUUUAUACCCGGAUUCCCCAGUCAUAAUUCUUCUGCCGACACGCUAGACAUACUAUUUCACAAAUGAUGUAUGGACUUUUUUCUUUAAUCACAAGUUCAACAUGGGUGUAAUAUGUUGAUGCAGACUGUCAUGUUGGCGAGCAAUGAUACAAUAGCGAUCACACUCACCUGGGCACUCUCUCUGCUAAUGAACAACCCUCAUGCUCUAAAAAAGGCACAAGAAGAGUUGGACUUCCAUGUGGGAAGGAAUCAGCAAGUGUACGAAUCAGAUAUAAAGAAGCUAGUCUACUUGCAAGCCAUUAUCAAGGAGACUUUACGACUAUACCCUGCUGGGCCGCUUGCACUGCCACAUGAGGCCAUGGAGGACUGCACUAUUGCUGGCUUCCACAUCCAAGCUGGGACUCGCCUUCUGGUUAACCUCUGGAAGUUACACCGCGAUCCCACAAUUUGGUCGGAUCCUUUGGAGUUCCAACCUGAGAGGUUCCUGACAAAGCAUGUGGGUUUGGACGUUAGGGGUCAACAUUUUGAACUUCUACCAUUUGGGUCAGGCAGAAGGAUGUGCCCAGGAAUCUCAUUUGCUCUGGAGAUCCUGCAGCUGACACUAGCCAGAUUGCUUCAUGGUUUUGAAUUGGGCGUGGUUGCAGAUUCACCCCUGGAUAUGACUGAAGGUGUUGGGCUCGCUUUGCCUAAAGCAACUCCGCUGGAGGUCACCCUAGUCCCAAGGCUACCCUCCGAGCUCUACCACUAAAGUAGUAUCCUAAUGUGUGCCACAAAAUCCCCUGGUUAGCCCAGGAAGGGUCUACUCCACUGGAGGUCACUCGGGAUGCGUAUCCGCCUAAAUAAACCUCGAUGAAAAGCCUCACAUACAUCACUUGCCGUCCUUGCAUAUCUACUCAAGCUUUCUUAAUCAGGAUACUUUCUAGGUACCUUGUGUUUGUAAUUUAACUGGAACAUGUUAAAAUUAAGAGUCUUGGGUCUAUUUUGGGAAUGUUUUUAAAAAUAAUUCUUAAAAAUAUAUAUAUUUUUAAACUAUUUUCAAAUUUUGUUUUAUCAUAUUUUCUAAAAUAAAAAUAUGUUUGAAAUUUUAGAAAUUUCUUAACAUGUUUUUUUCUUUUUUAAUUUUCAAAUAUUUUUUUAAAAAUGACCUUCUAUCUCCAAUGCUUUAUUUUCAACCAUUUCUAAAAAUUAAUUAAAUACGUUUUUAUUUUUUUUUAAUUCUCAAAAAUAAAAAUAAUUAUUCUUAAUAACAAUUUGUGAACAUAACUUAAGCUUUUUUUGGAAAAAAAAAAUAGAAAUGUUGAAUUUAAAGUGUUCAAGAAUAACAGGUGAGUGAAUGGAAUGAGUGCGGCCUUUAAAACUCAUCAUUUGUAACAUGAUUUAAGAACUUGUUUGAUAGAGGUUUUAAAAAGCGUUUAUAAUUUUUUUAGAAGUUAAAAAUAUUUCUUUUGAAAAAAAUUUUUAAAUACUAAAAAAAUUAAAAAUACAUUCUAAAAUUAUUAUCAAAUGAAUUUUAAAAAUGUGUUUAUCCAUGUUUUUACUAAACAUGAUUUUUGUGAAAGUAUUUUCUUUAAUAGUCUUUUUCAGAUAAUAAUUUAUUAAGAGUUAUUUUGGUAGUGAUCCUAGAAAGUGCUUUUAUCGUAAAAAGAAGUUUAAAAAAAACCAUUAAAUGUUUAACAGAAUUUAGGAAAUACUAUUCAAAAUUCUAAAACUGCGUCAACGUGAUUUUUGUAAAAGUAUUUUCUCUAAUAGUUUUUUUUUAGAGAAUCAUUUAUUAAGACUUAUCUUGGUGGUGAUUCUAAGAAGUGCUUUUACUUUAAAAAGAUGUUUUUUUAAAAAAACAUUGAAUUUAAGAAAUACUAUUCAAAUUUUGAAAAAUCACUUUUUAGAAAAACACUUGAUUGAUGAUUUUUCAAAAAAUAAUAUUUUAUGAGAAAACAUUGUCAUUAAAAUUUUUUUGAAUAAAAACACUUUUAAGCGCACUCUUAGUGCUAUUUUAAGAGUAUGUUUGAGAGUAAUUAUUGAAAAUAUUUUUAGCAUAUUUAAUGUUUGAAAGAUAAAAAAUUUUAAAUAUUAAAAACAUUUUUUAAAAUCACUGUAAAUGCAAUCUAUGAAGUAUAUUACAAUUGAUUUUUUUAACUUUUUAAAACCCUUGUCUAAAUUUUAUCUAGUUUUUUUUUUUUUUUUGUCAAAACUAUUUUUUUAAGCUAGAACUAGAAGUACUCUGUAACUUUAAAGAAUCCUUACCCAGCCGUUAACGUUUUAAACACCGUAGUUACUAGGCCCUACUCUCAUGCUAUUGUUUAUAUAAACAUGAACACUUUUGUUACUUAGUGCUGGAACGCAUUAGAACUAUAGACAAAACAGAAGAUUCCUUGGUUUUAUUUAGGCACCAAACCCACUCAUUCAAGCAUAUUUAAAUUUAAAUGCAGCCGUCCACGAAUAAACAACAGACCCAUUACCAAGAAGGUGAUCAUCCUUUUUCAGGGUUGGUUCUUCAAAAUUCAAAAUCAGUUAGCUGAAGGAACAGAAAGGAAAAGAACAGAGCUGAAUUUACAGAAAAGAAUUUUUUUUUUUUCUUUUUCUUUUCUAAGGAUCUUGGAAUCCUUUUCCUGGUAUAGGCAGAACAUUAGAGAUAUAUAUAUGGUAGUGGGAAGUGAUUCUUCUGUUGAAACUCCAUUUUUCUUGUAUCCAAUUAUUAGACAGGAAUUGCAUGUUGAAUCAUACGAAGAAAUUAUGCCAAACAUUUCUAUAGAAAGGGAACAUACUGAACUAACUUGAUUCCAUUUUGAGUGUUGAAUGAACAAGGUAUGGAUCUUCUAAGGCUGUGGAGGGCACCAUCUCUUUCUGGAUUCUCUCUGACGAUGGGAGUGGGAGAGAAAACAAGUCUGUUUUUAUUUCAAAUUAUGUGAUUCGAUUGAACAGACACUUAGCCUUUGAUUUUAUACCCUCCUGCAUAGGACCAUACCCUUUGGCUAUUGGGCCUCACGAGUCUUAGGCCCAUCAUCUAAGGCUCGUGAUGGCAAUGGGCUCUACACAUAAGGUGGCCCAUACUAUGGAAAACUGAUACAAAAUAAAUAUCAAAAGGCGAAUAGCUUAGUCAUGUAACAUUGUUAAAUAUGUGUGAGUCCAUAUCUUAACAUCUUCCCCCUAAAACAUUUUCUUUUCUAUUGAGUCAUGGCUUCAGUUUCGAGGGAUCAUCGUUUUUGGCCUUCUGUUUGUGGUUGAUUAAAGCCGAAGGGAACAAGAACAAAGGCAAAAGGGCACCAGAACCAUCCAGGGCAUGGCCUUGAAUCGGACACCUUCAUCUUCUAUGAGCAGGCAAGCCCCAACAUCAAGCAUUUGGAGCAUGGCAGAUAAGUAUGGACCAAUCUUUUGCUUUCAUAUUGGCCCGCGCAAAACUUUUUUGGUUAGCAGCUGGGACGCAGCAAAAGAAUGUUUCACUACCAUGGACAGAGCAUUUGCCACUCGACCCAGAUCCUUGGCAUGAAAGCUCAUGGGCUAUGACCAUGCCAUGUUUGGUUUCUCUCCUUACGGGCCAUACUGGCGUGAUGUAAGGAAGUUGGCCUCGGUUGAGCUCCUCUCAAACCUCCAGCUUGAGUUACUCAACCAUGUCCGGGACUCAGAAGUUAAGCUUUUCAUCAAAGAGCUCUAUGGGCAAUGGAUACAAAAUGGGGACAGGCCUCUUUUGGUCGAGAUGAAGGAGAAGUGUUGGCACAUGGCAACAAAUGUAAUGGUGAGCGUAGUAGCUGGGAAACAGCAUUUUGGCACCAUUACAAACGACUAUGAAUCAAGACAGUGCCGGAAGGCCCUUGGCGAUUUGUUAUAUCUUUCGGGGAUAUUUAUGGUUUUUGAUGCAAAUCCCCUUCCUUGGCUGGUCAGACACUGUGAGAGGAUAUACGACAAAAAUGAAGAGAACAACUAGGGAGAUGGAUCAGGUGCUGGGUGUAGGAAGAGUGUAAAUAAUUUUUACUUUUAUUUUUGGGAAGUGUCCUAUUGAGAAUUAUUUUAUUAUUUUAUUUUAUUUUAUUCUAUUAAUGUUAUAUUUUUGGGAAGAGUCCUAUUGGGAUUGUGCUAGUGGAGUCUCAUUCUUUUUAUAAGUAGAUUCCCCUUCCACUUUGUGUCAUCUUCUAAUUACAAGUAGAUUCUCAUUGGAUCGUGUUAGUGGCCUAUAAAAGCAAGUCACCCUUCUCUCUAUAUGAAUACCAAUUUUUCAGAGAAUUUUUUAGAGUUUUUCAGGAAGUUUUUUUCACACAUCCUUCUGGAGGAAUUUAUUCAAAACCCAAGUUGUACACAUCUCGCUUACAGAGUGCACCCAAGGCGGGAUCUGAUUGUUGAAUACUAGAGGUAGAUCACCGGUACCCUAGUGCACCGAGUUCGUCUUCAAGGAGGGUGGAUCUAUUUCAAAGACAGUGGUUGUCACGAUAAAUUUUUCUUCUUAUUUAUUAUGUUCUUUGUUUGUCUUUUGGGCUAGUCUUUUGUUUUCAUACCCUUAAAUCCAACAAUCUUGAAAUAAAUCUAAAUGGAAGCUUCCCUGGUUCACACCUGUCCUAACACCUUUAAAAUUGAUCCCUUCAAAGGAACAUUCUUUAAGAGAUGGUAAGAAAGGGUUUUCUAUGCAAUUGAUGUAGUGAACUUGGGACACUUUUUGACUGACUUAAAACCUUUGAUGCAGUGUUGGUAAGUUCAGGAGUAUCCUUGAACUUGUGGGGGGAAGCUCUCCUAUCCAUUUGUCAUAUUCAAAAUAGAAGACCUUACAAGAAAUUCCUAGGUUCUAAGUUUGAUAUGAAAGUCCUAGGAGAGGUAGAGGUGAUUCUAGGAAUUAAAAUAACUAGAACAUCUAAUGGGCUUAAACUUUCUCAAGAUCAACACUAUGUUGAGAAGAUCCUAAGGAAGUUUGAACACUUUGAUUGUAAACCAAUGUCAACUCCUUAUGAUCCCAGCUCACAGCUAAAGAAAAUAGAGAACAUAGUAUUACCCAAAUAGAGUAUGCUCAGAUCAUAGGAAGCCUAAUGUACUUAAUGAACUGUACCAAACUUGCUUAUGUAGUAGAUAGAUUGAGUCGGUACACCCAAAGUUCUAAUUAGGACCAUUAGACUAUUGUUCGUAGAGUCCUUAAGUAUUUGAGAGGCACCAUUAACUAUGGUUAGUGCUUUAAUGAAUUUCCAAGUGUCCUUGAAGGAUUUAGUGAUGCAAAUUGGAUCUUAGAUUCAGAUGAGAUGAAAUCCACUAGUGGAUAUGUUUUCAUCCUUGGUGGAAGUGUUGUUUCUUGGAAGUCUGGCAAGCAAACUUGCAUUACUCGAUCUACUAUGGAGGUCGAGUUUAUUGCCUUAUAAAAGACAAGUUCUAAGAUUGAGUGGCUUAGAAACCUCUUAGCAAAUAUCCCUUUAUGGACGAGACCAACCCCGUCUGUGUCUAUGCGUUGUGAUAGCCAAGCUGCAAUUGCUAAGGCUAAGAGUAAAAUAUUUAAUGGGAAGAAUAGACAUAUACGCCUAAGGCACAAUAUUGUGCGACAGCUGCUUGAAACAGGGGUUAUAUCCCUAGAAUUUGUGAGGUCAGAGUUGAAUUUGGUUGAUCCUUUAACCAAACCACUAAGUAAGAAACUAGCGGAAGAAACAUCAAGGGGGAUGGGGCUUUUGCCUAUUACAGAAGUCAAGAGUGGUGGUAACCCAACCUAUUAAAAUGGAAAUUCCAUGAAACAGGUUCAUAUGGGUAAUAACAAAUCACUCGUUGACUUGAGGGGCUCUAUCAAUUCUAAUUGUAUGAGAGUUCAUCCCUAUGGUGUAGAUAGAGCGUAUUCUGCAUUGACUAAGGUUGAGUGUUUAUGAGAAUAUGUUUUAGUCUUUUUCAUUUAGUUUUAAAAACCAUUUUAAAAAAUAAUUAUACAAAUAUGAAAAAGUAUUAAAAAUAAAGCACUAAGAUAAAAAUUUAAAAACAUUAAAAAUGGUCUAAAAACAUUUCUAUGUCCAAAACAGACUUUUAUUCACAAAAUAUCAAUAACGAUUUUUUUUUAAAUAAAAAAUAAAAACUAUUUUUGAAAACUAUUUUCAAAAACACUUUUCAAACAAAACUGUAAUUUUUGAACUUCUUCCAAAGUCAAUAUCUGUUGUUGCUGCAAUAGAUGUUUCUUCAUCAAGUAAAGUUUAUUUUGAAUGUCUGCUAUUGACUUGUUAACAUAUUAUAAAACAAUUCAUCUUGGCUUUCAUAGUGAAAUCACAAGGAUUAAUUAGAAACCAAUCAUUUGUAUAAGGUUGCAAGCCCUUAUGAUUGAUCCAAAAUUUGCAUUUUUCUUUCCCACAAGGUGAAUAUAGCUUUGGCAACAAGCAUAUGAUCGUGAAUGAACCAUCCAACUUCAUAUUAAAAUAUCUUAUAUUAAUAGAGCAUCCAAACUGAUGAGGGCACGACUAAAAAAUGGAAUACAAAUCCUAUCCAAGUUCCAAUUGGUCUAGUUACAAAGGCUCAAGCUAAAAAGUUAAAGGAAACUCUUAAUGGAUUGAUUCAAAACAUUUGGGUUGAGUUGAAUUUGUGGAGAACCAAGGAAGAUGUUCCACGUGUUCCACAAGGUUGGAUUUCCAUGAUUCAAGCUUUUGAAUAAUCUAGAAGAAUCUCACAAAAAGAACAGCUCACAAAUUCCGUGGAUUGAGUGGAGUUUUCUAAAUUGGUGAUUACCCAAUUACCUUUUCUAGCUAUUUGUGAAUCCUAGGCAAUAUAUUUAGGGAUUUUCUAGCUACCUAAUUCGUGGACCUCUUUGUACUUAAAUAUCCAUUAGCUUAUUGAAAAACAAUGUAGAUUUCAUUCAUAAUUUUGUGAGAGAAAAUUAUCUUUGGUUCUUUUAGAACUCUUUGAACUUAUCGGAACAAUUUCUGCAUAUGCAACAACCAUAGAACAUAUAUGGAUACUUAUUCAUGAUCUACAAUAUGAAAAGAGAGUUUAUCUUUCUUUACUUUUUAGCAAUGUGACACUAUGUGGACCUAAUCAAAUUGAUGAUUGUUCCCAUAUUGCAUUAAAAAACUAAAUAUUUCUCUAAAAUAGUUAUGGCUUAUUAAUCUCCUAUACCCUUUGAAAUUAUCAUAUGUAGCACUUUAAUGCUAAUGGGCUUGCCCUAGUAAAAAAGAAAGCUUGAAGGAUCUUAUCAUGCAUCUCAAUGGUGGUUGGAGUCAAAGGCUUGUUAAGAAGAAAUUGAAAUGCAAUAAGUACCCCAUUUUGUUUAUUUAAUAGAUGAAGUCAAAUAAGAAUAAUUGGGAAAGUCAAAUAGUUGAGCUUGGAGAUGAAGCAUAGAUAUUGCUUUUAAUUGCUUGAAGAUGAAUUCAAAAAAGUGUUUGAUGUUUCAUCAAUGAAAUGACUUGAUUUCAUCAUCAAGAGAGGGAUUGAAAUAGACCUAGUAAACGUUAAGUCAUAUUGGUCAAUAAGAAAAAUCAAAGAAUUGAGAGGUUUCAUCGAACAAUUCCAAUUUAUAUGAUGGUUCAUAUUUAAAUAUUCCUAUUGGUGUGAACUUUUCUAUGAACUCUUGAAAGGAGGUUGGUUUUAGAUGAGGGUGGGGAAAGGUGAUGUCAAUAUACAUUUUUAUAUUUAAAGGUAGAAGAAGAAAUUUUCCACUUUCCUAAAUUCUCUCCUUGGCUUUAUUAUGACUCCCUCUAAACCCUUCAUCCUCUAACAUCUCAUUUGGCUUUAUUGGUGAAGUGAGGAUUCAAAGGUUUAAGAGUAGUUGCUUAGCCCUUGUCAAGAAAUGUUUUUAAAAACAAUGUUUGAGAAUAGUUCUUAAAAAAUCUAUUUAAUUAUUUUCAAAAACAAAAUUCUAUUUGAAAACCUAUGUAUAACACAAAAAUUCUCAAAAAGAUUUUUAUAUUUUCAAUUGUUUCUGGUAAUACUUCACAAAAAAAUAUCUCAAUUUUUUACUAUUUCUUUUAAAUAACAUGUUUUUAAAAAUAAAUUAUCAAAAAACUGUUUGGUAAAGCAGUUAUCAACCAUACUUUUCUAAGUUAAAACACUAUCUUAAAAAAAAAAGAACAAUUCUAAAACAAGCCUUACAUUUCUUUUGUGUCUAUUUUUUAAUUUAACACUAGAAACUUUGAUUGUGUGAGGGUUUCUUUCUUCAAAUUGGAUUCAUAUUUUUCUUCCUCGCUUGACAAUGAUGAAUGGUGUCUUUGACACAUUUCCUUCUUAACAAUGACAAAUGUCUUCUCCCCACUUCUAGCUAAUCAGAGAGACUAGAGGAAAAAUAGUUUGUUUCAGGGAAACCUUAGUCAUCCUAAUGUUACUAAAGUCAUCCAAAAGAAAAUGUAGCGUAUGAUUAGGCAAAUUUGUUCCUCACUCGAACUGUAAUAUGAUCAUCCUUAGCCCUCAAUAGAUUUGGAUUUGAAUGGAUUACGUUUAGAUUAUGAAUAUCUACUUCUCAGAGUGUUCUAGUGUAGAUAGUUUUGUGUCAUCAUGGAAUCCUUUUCCUAGUAGACUAAUGGUGCAAUAGAAGUAUUAUGUGUGGUAGCAAGGGAAGUAAUUCUUUCAACUAACCUAUUUUCUAUGCUAACAAAUAGUAUGGCAUUCUUCUUUCAACUUCAAGAUAUGAGAGUUUUUGGUCCUCUUUUUGCUAUGAAUUUCCUGUCUCUAGUUGUUUAAUUCCAAAGCAAACAAAAACAAAGGCAAAAGGCCACCAGACCUGUCUAGAGCAUCACAUUUAAUAUUUAUUGGUCACCUUCAUCUCUUAGGAGCAAACAAGUCGUUACAUCAGACAUUUGGAGCCAUAAAUGAUAAGUAUGAACCAUUUGUGUUUGUCUAAGCUUUAUGUCAUGACUCACCAUAAAUAAUGUCCAAUGUACAUAUAAUCAUAUAUACAUUAAUGCUCUUACCAUGAGAAACCCAUCCCGAUGACUAAGACCAAUCAUGUCUCUAUAACAAAAUAAGGUUUAGAACUAAUGAUUAUAUUUCAGGUAUGAUUAGACAAGACGAUUUCCAAGGUGGCAAUCAUAAAAAUAAAUCAAGCCAAAGAGAAAUCAUUAAGAAGAAGAAGACCUCAAAGAGAAGUGUUUUUCAAGACCCAACCUUCAUAAGAUCUCUUUGUAAAGUUGUUGGCGCACUAAGAUUUUCAUGCAUUACAUUCUUUACUUAUGCACUAAAAUCAUUCAAGAGUUAUUUUAUUUUAAAUAUUUUAAAAUUGGAUGAUUUCAUGUUUUCAACUAAAACCUUGUGUCAAAUGUUUUCCCAACUUGUUUAAAAGAUUUUAAGUUGAAAAAAUUGGUUGUUGAGCCAAAAAUGGCUCAACCGAUUGAACCAGAUGAGGAAUCGAUCGACUCCCAACUCAACUGGUUGAGGGGUACAAAAAAACAUUCUCUCUCUUCCAAAACGGUUGUGCAACCGGUUGAGGUCCGGUCAAUGGGCGAUCGAGGUCCAACGGUCACCUGCCAAACAUUAAAUGCUAACGACUAGUCAAUCGAUCUACCCCCAGCUCAACCAGUCGAACCCCUAAUGGCUAGUUUGGUUUUUUUCCUCUAUAAAAAGGCUCCAAUCUUCAUUGUUUUAAGAGCUUAACCUUUAUUAAUCUUUCUUGAAUAUAUUUGAGCCUUAGGAGAGUGUUUUUGAGUGCACCAUUGUUCUAAAACUUGCAUAUCAUUAGUGCCUCAUUCAAUCCUAGUUUUCUUGUAACAUUUAAACCUUAAAGUUUUGUACUAGGAUUUUGUGAGAUUCUUUAUUAUCUUCAUUUGUAAAUCUUUGAGAGAAAGAAUCUAAGUAUGAGGUAUCACUUAGGAAUUCUCAAGUGUGGGGUAUCACUUGAGAGAUUGUUCAAGAGUGGGGUAUUUUUUUACGUUUGAAAAUGGUGGAUUGGAAUCAUAAUCUAAUUGUAUUGCUUGAAGGCUUGGUUUAGAAGCCUUGAAAUAGUAGAACCUCAAACUUGGGAUUGAAGCUAGAGGAGAGUGAACGUAGGCCGGGUUGCGUUGAACCAUUAUAAAAAUCUUAUGUUUGCAUUUUCUCUUCCCUACUCUCUUAAUUUAUAUGCAAUUUUUUUUAUAUUGUUUUAUUAUAUAUUUACAUAUAAUUAUAUCUUGUAUUCACAUAAUUUAAAUUUACAAAAAGAGACCAUCACCCUAUUCAUCCCCCUCUAGGCUGAUUACUAUAGGUUGGAUUAACCUAAUUUUUCUAACACAUUAUCCAAAGCAACCAUGACGUUAUUAUCUUUUGAACUCUACUUCUAUUAGCAGCAGCAUUAAAAGUAAUAGCCUAAUGUGUGCAACAAAGUCUUCAGGUUAGUUCAGGCACUAUCUACUCCAACAUAGAAAGUGGGAAAAAAUGUGUGCUACAACCUUCCCACUUAGUUGAGGCACUGUCUACUCCUUAAUUCUGAACCAUUCAGUCCAAACGGGCAUCCACCUUACACUUAGGUAAGGCAAAGCUUCUCAAUAUUAUCUAUGUAAUGUGUGGUGUGUGGUAAAGAGCAUGCCAAACUUAAUAGCUAAAUCAACCCCAUUUUCAUGGGGCUAGAUUUACUCCCGCGUGAUUUUCAAUGAACAAAUAUGCAUCAUAACAACUGGCCAAAGAGAUGGGUUUUUUCAUACUCAGAACUAUCAUAUAUAAGACUUCGAAGGAGCUUUCACAUUUUAUAUCAUCGACAACUGUCUAUAGUUUCCAUAUUAGGAUGGCACAUGUAUGGAACAUGAAUUCGACCUGUGAGUGUUCUAGUGUGUGUAGUUUUGAGCCCUUUUGGAGAAGUGAUUCUUAGUUAUAAGAAGCACUCACAGAAAGUGUGACCAGGGUAUGUAUAAAUAUCCAUGUUCUGAACAGAGAAAACUGUGAAAACAGAAUAGAAAACCAUUUUUCUCUCUCCGACCCUCUUUCUUUUCACUCUGGUACUAUCCAGUCAUGGGAUUCUCCCUUCGCCCUCAAGAUAUCAUAGUUUUUGGGCUUCUUCUGUCUACAAUCUGUCUGUUGUUGGCAACAGUACUUAAUGCCAAAGGGAACAAGAAGAAAGGCGAAAGGCCACCAGAGCCGUCCGGGCGAUGGCCUCUUAUCAGUCACCUUCAUCUUCUAGAAGCAGACAAGCUGCUACAUCGAACACUUGGAGACAUGGCUGAUAAGUAUGGACCCAUCUUUUGCGUUCAUCUUGGCCUCAAAAAAGCAUUGGUGGUUAGUGGCUGGGAAGUAGCGAAGGAAGGUUACACUAUAAAUGACAAGGUAUUCGCCACUCGACCAAGACCCUUAGCAAUAAAGCUUAUGGGCUAUGAUCAUGGCUCGUUUGUCUUUGCUUCUUGUGGACCAUACUGGCGUGAUGUGCGGAAGCUAGCCAUGGCUGAGCUGCUGUCAAACCGCCAGCUUGAGAUGCACAAGCAUGUCCAGGACUCAGAAGUCAAGAUCUUAAUAAAAGAGCUUUAUGGGCAAUGGGCAAGCAACAAGGACGGCCCCGCUUUAGUGGAGAUGAAGGAAAGAUUUGGGAACUUGGCACUGAACGUAGUGGUGAGAGCAAUUGCUGGGAAACGGUAUUUUGGGACCCAUGCCUGUGGUGAUGAGCCAAAACGGGGCAAAAAGGCCUUUGAGGAUUUCAUUAUUCUAGUGGGGCUGUUCAUGGUCUCGGAUGCCAUCCAUUUUCUCGGCUGGUUGGACACGGUGAAAGGGUUUACCGCUGAAAUGAAGAGAGUAGCUAAGGAGGUGGAUUAUGUGCUUGGAAGCUGGGUGGAGGACCAUCGCCAGAAUAGGCUUUCUGCGAACGACAAUGGGGCUGAGCAAGACUUCAUACAUGCCAUGCUUUCUGUCAUAGAUGAUGGCCAAUUCUCUCGUCGUGAUCCUGACACCAUCAUUAAGGGCACUUGCUUGGUAUGUCCCUGCUACUUCCAUAACCUGAGCAUGAAAUGAAAAGAAAGAAAAAAAAAAAGCACCAUCUACUAUCAUAAUUUCUACAACUUUUUCCGCCCAAUUUCCUAAACCCUCCUCACAUUUCUAUAAGGAUUCAUCAAAUCCGGUAUAGCUUUAUCAUCUGUAUUUAUCAUGACAAACCAGGCGGGGUGAUCAAAUUUCACUUAGAUUCCUUAUUCACGGUUUGUUUUAUCAUUCUGCUAAACAUGAUAUUUCACUACUGAUAAGUAAACUUUGCCUGAUCACAUAUUGAAGUCGACAUCAUAUGUUGAUUGCAGAACCUCAUAUUAGCUGGCUAUGGAUCAACAUUUAUCACUCUUACAUGGGCCCUCUCUCUCCUAUUGAACAACCAUCAUGCGCUAAAAAAAGCAUAAGCAGAGCUGGAAAUCCAUGUGGGAAAGCAUCGCCAAGUGGAUGGAUCAGAUAUAAAGAACCUAGUCUACUUGCAAGCCAUCGUCAAGGAAACAUUACGACUGUACCGUCCUAGGCCACUUUCCCUGCCACGUGAGGCCAUGGAAGAUUGCAUUGUGGCUGGCUUUCACAUCCAAGCUGGGACGCGCCUUUUGGUUAAUCUCUGGAAGUUGCAUCGUGACCCCAGAGUCUGGUUAAACCCUUUGGAGUUCCAACCAGAGAGGUUCCUGACAAAGCAUGCAGGUUUGGAUGUUAGGGGUAGAAAUUAUGAACUUCUACCCUUUGGUUCAGGUAGAAGGGUAUGCCCAGGAAUCUCAUUUGCACUGGAGUUGACGCAUCUGACGCUAGCCAGACUGCUUCAUGGUUUUGAAUUGGGAGCGGUUGUAGAUUCACGGGUGGAUAUGACUGAAAGUCCUGGGUUGACUGCCCUCAAAGCAACCCCACUGGAGGUCACAAUUGUUCCAAGGCUACCUUUCGAGCUCUAUAGUUAUGAAGUAGCAUAGAAAGCAAAUAAUACUCUUAUGUGAGCCGGAGAGUCCCCUAAUUAGCCCAGUGCUUUAGUUUAGGGUAUAUUUAUGUUGGUGUGACUGACUUUGAAUUGUCGCGGUGUAAUGGGUGUUCUCCUUUCUCAUCUUCUCCUCAAUUUUCAUCCACUUGGAUAGUAAUAAAUUUCCAUCUAUGAGUAUUUCUUUUUGCAUACUUAAAAUAUCUUAAGCCUGUUUUUGAGGGGGAAAAAACCAUGUUUGAGACAAAAGAAAUAGAAAAUGCAUGGUUUUAUGUUCUACGUAUUUUAACUAUUUUUAUUUAUUUUUAAAAAUAAAUAUAAAAAUGACAAAAUAAAUAAAUAAAUAAAGUACUAACAUAAAAGUUAUUUAAAAAACAUAAAAAAAUAUUUCAAGUUCUAAAAUAAAAUUUUAAUCAUAAAACAUCAAAAACAAUUUUGAAAAACAAUUUUGAAAAACAAUUUUGAAAAACAAUUCUCAAAUAUCAUUUUUCAUAACUAUUUUUUAAAACAUUUCUCAAAUACAACCUUAAAUUUUGAACUCCUUCCAAAACGAAGUUUCCAUGAUGCUGCAACUUAUGCUUCUUCAUCAUUUGGAGUGCCUACUGUUGAGGCCUCGCGUCCUUGGUGAUCCACGUAGUUGCCAAAUGGGUGAACGCACGAUCUCAACCAAUAUAGAUUCUUGAUUCAAUCGUACUACCUGCAAAAGGCGUCCGGACGAGGUGUCCGGACGCACCCUCCGAUGGUUUUGUCAGCCAUGAUUAGAGAAAUAGAGAUAAAUCAGUUGGUCUUUUACCAAGUAUAGCAAGCUUACUUUCCUCUUUGUGUGAAGGUUCAUAUAUAUAGUAUCAGAAGCUUUGUUUCUCUCUUUAAUCGUAGGGAGAUAUUUUGUGUUGUCAUGAUGACACUAGGUGGUGGCAGGGUCAUCAUCACCCUACGGGCGGCUGACAGAUAUCGUGGUAGUUGCUGCAAUUGUUUGAAAUAGUGGGAAGUGAUCGUAGGAAGUGACUUGCCGUCACUUCAUUCUUGUCCUUUCACCCUGCAGAUGGCGGAAUGUGGGUCAUGGCAGGCUGUUGUGAUAACGUGUAAGACUUGCUUACUUCAGUCAAUGAUCCGGACAAACACACCCGGAUAGUGUAUGUCGGUCGUCCGGAUGUGCUGUGGCAGUCGUCCGGAUGUUAUGUUUGUGAGUGUCGUGUGCCUUUCCUUGAGAGAGUCCGGAUAGGAGAAGCGCGCCACGUGUACUCUUGGGGAAAUCCGGAUGAGGCUGAUCCAGAUGAGAAUGUGUGCCACGUGUUAUUAUGAGAUGUGUGCCACGUGUGGGGAGGGGUCCCUACACCUACUCUUGACUUAUUAACACAUGAUAAAACAAUUGAUCCUGAUUUUCAUAGAAAAAUCAUAUGGAUUAAUUGGGAAAUAGUUAACUGUACAAAGUUGCAGCCUGCAGGCCCUCAUGAUCGACCUACACUUAGCAUUUUCUUUCCCACAAGAUGAAUACAACAUUUGGCAGCAAGCAUAGGAUCAUCAUGAAUGACCUAUUGAACUCAAUAUUAUAAUAUCUUAUAUUAACUGAGCAUCCAACCCACCACCACAACUUAGACAACUUUAAAAAAAUUAGAAUCCAAUUACUAUAUUAUUGGUAGAAGACUGGAAUCAAAUGCUCUAAAUUAAUUUCCCUUAAGCGGACAAGAGGUUUUACAUGUUCACAUAUAUGCCAUACAAUCUCAUGGAACACUUUCUAAUAUAACUAUCAGAUUCCAAAAAUACAUUUGGCAAUGUUUUUACUAAAAGUGGUUUUUGUAAAAGUAUUUUUUCUAAUAGUCUUUUUCAGUGAAUCAUUUAUUAAGAAUCAUCUUGGCAACCGUCCUAGGAAAUGCUUUUAGCAUAAAAAAAAAGUUUUUAAAAAAACAUCACAUAACCAUAAUGGGCCAAAAUGGGCUUCUUUAGAAACUUAAUAUUAAAAGUGGGCUUCUUCCCAAACUAUUGUUCAAACUAGUCCCCAUCAAUUCACAUAACCAUAAAAACCAUCUUUUUUUAUACUAUUUUUGUUUACUUUCUCAGCUUUCCAUCCCAUUCUCUAUUCCCUGUGUAAUUUUUUUCUUCAAAACCCUAGCCCCACCAAUGGGCCACUGUGAAAGAGACAUUGUUGGAGCUAUAAAGUAUCAAGGUUGAGGUUGGUCCCAAUCUUCUUUUUGGUUUGUUUUAUGUAAAGUUUUUGGCACUUUCCCAUUUUUUUCCCCAUCUCAAAAUCUCGGUUUUCAGAAAAUUUAUUUAUUGUUUCCCAUUGCUUUUGUUUUUCUCUUUUGUUUACGUCCUUCACGACUAUUUUAGCAUACAGAUUCGUGAUUCUAAUAUAGAGGUUAUGUAAGAUAAAAUGGACAGAUCCUUCGUAGAAGGAUGAGUCCAUAUCACCCGAGGUUUGCUUUACCACAAGCUAAAAUAAAUGCCUGGUGUGGACCCGCAUCUUUCACGUGCGCCCCCACUCGAUCGGCGAGACUCGCUUUUUAUUUGUGAAAAAUUAAUUUUAGAAAAGUUGGAGUCGCCACUUAUUUUAUUUUUAUUUUAAAGGGAAAAUAAAACAAGAAAGAAAAACCCUAAAAAUGUGACUCCAUAAUUUUUGGAAAAAGCAUGUCUUUGAAAAACCCGAGUCUAAGUCCGGGGAUCAGGUUACCUAUUGGGAAGGUACCUCUAGGAGGUAGCACCCCUCUAAGCCCUAAAGAGGUCUCUACUGACUAAGUUAAGGGAAGCGUAGCAAUUAAAUGGUUGAUCAUGGAUACUUAAGUAGGCUAGGUGAUUCCAAAAACAUAGCAUAUCAAACAAGAUCAAAUCACAAUUAAGGAGAGUUAAAAAUGCGUACCUGGACAGCUUCCUAAACGCUAUCAUAAAACAUAAGAGAUUAAUUUGGAGAUACAUCAUACAACAUUUGUUUUAUUCAAGCAAAUCAGGCAUAUAUCAAGACAUCCAAGAAUCACGUCAAAUAUGGAUAGGGUCAUCAAUGACAUACAAGUAUAUAGAGUUCUAAAAAAAAAUAGAUGAGAAGAGAGCAUACCUGGAUAGCAAGCUAGUACUCCUCUAUGGGAAUCAAAAGCAUCUCAACAAUAAAUACGAAACGAAUUCAUGUAUAUCAUCAAGAAGAAUAAAAAAUCAACAUAUCAAACAAACAAUAUUGAAGAAGGUAUCAUGAAUGUCGGGCCCCCACCAAAGCCCUAAUUAAUUUCGCAUGAGUUGAUUCCAUGAAUUCCAUGACUUGGAAUUAUGGAGUUUGUUCAUGCUUAAGAAAAUUGAGAAAAAUCAAGAAAAUCAUUUGAAAAUCAAAUAAAAUAGUGAAAAUGCAUGCUAGAAGGAAAAUGGCAGCAAGAGUGUGUUAGAAUAUGGAUUUUAUACCUAGAAAGGACCUAAGAUGAAUUUUUCAAAGCCGGGAAUGUUUAGUUGAACAAUGGUUCAAAAAUUCAAUUUAAAACAGUAAAUUCCCAAGCAAAGAAGCAAGAAAAGGGGAAAGUGUGUGUAGCAAGGUAGCCAUAAUGGACUGGAGCCUAGGAAUGAGAUUUGAGACUAUCUUGCUGGUGUUGAAUCCCCAAAUACAUUCUGCCAUUUCUCUCUCUUGGCACUUUCUAGGGCUUCUUGGCGCAACCAACUUUCCCUAUCCAUGUUUUCCUUGGAUCCAUGAGCUCAAAUUGAAGCAGUUAUUGAAUGGAGAUUCUGGUGGGCAUUUGAUGUCAAAGAUAUUGCUGGAAGAGAGCUUGAGGGCUUCAUUUAAUCAUGGGCAACAGUGGGAACUGACAGGAAAUGACAAUUCCAGCUCUUGCUUAAUUUGGGGCGACUGCAAGUAUUAGUACUCAAGUGCCUGCUACAAUUUUCUCCUUGAUCAUCAAAAGCAAUGCUGAGCUUAGUACGACUUUCAGGAUCUAAGCUUGCAAUUCCUUAAAGAACCUCGGUCCCCUUUCUCUUCUCCAAAUAACAUAGAGAGCACCAUGUACUGUUUUGUGGGAUUUCUGUAGAGCUUUCUUGUCUUCAUCAUCAUUUGAAACUGCUGUUCGAAUCAUGAUCUUACACCUAAUUGCUGAAUAUGUAAAAAAAAGUAGCAAUACUCUUUGAAACUGCAACCAACAUGAAAACUGAGGGGGGAGAAAGGGUUUAUGGGGAUGAGCCUUUAAGUGAAACCUCUGAAUUUGAAACUUGUAUCUGCUCCUUUAUUCUUUUCUCUGUUUCAGAAUUUUGUUUAUCAUUCUCCUUAGUGAGGUGUUCUUUUUGUGCCAUAACUCCUUCAACAUCAGGUUCAUUUUGAGUGAUGUUCUUGUCAAUCUGGUCAAAUGUUGCAGGUCCCAAUGCCUAGGCAGUUCCUUUCUCAAACUCAGAAAAAUAUCCAUAUUAAUCUGCAUUCUCAUCGUCCACAUUAUCCAGAGACUCUGUGUUAUCUUCCUGCAGAUCAGAAGACAACUCCGGCUCCUUCUCUCCACUCUUCAAUCGCAUCCUCAACAUUAUGGUAAAGGUUGGCUUGGGUUUUCCGGAUGGAUGAAGAAUCUUGCUAAGGCAAUUGAGUUUUGGAUUGAUCAUUGAUGAGUUUCCCGUCCAUAGAUGAGUCACCCACCAAUAUCUCCAUCUCAGAAGUAUCAUUGGGAGGUAAGCCAUUUACAGGUGCAAGGUUAUUGUGAAUAUUACUGCUAUUAGAGUUCUGGUGCCGUUGUUUCUUAAAUCUGCAGCCUGCAUGUCAUCCUUUAGUUGUGUCACAAAUUCUGUAUUGAGCACAUGAUCACUAGUGAAGUCAAAAUUUCCAGAUCUCAAGACAUCUUCCCCUGGUGCCUCUAAAUCCAUGUCAGCUUUCUCUUCAUUACUCUUCCCAGAUCACCCCUCUCAGAAUUUCCAUCCACUUGUCCAGAUUCUGCCUCUUCUAGAUUUUCAUUCCUGGGAGAAGUUUUACCACGGUUUGAAUUGGUGCUCAUACUCUGAAGUUGGAAUUAUAGGUUGAGCAUCUCUGAUUUCAUCUUUUCUACCUACAGAUUAUGAUGACAUUUCUGCUCUCUAGAUUCAAGGAUAAACAGCGACUGUACAGUCUUCCAAGCAGCUCUUUUCUCCUUCAUUAAUGCCAAGCAACCAAUGAGUGACCUCAAAAAGCUCUCCAAUCUGCCAGUCCAUCUCUUGCAUGGAUUAAAUUAUCUGUAGUGGGCAAAUACAUCCCCAUCUCUCUGACAAGUGCCUCUAAAAUCAAAGAAGAAGUUUGACCGGUCAAUCAUAAAUAAUUUUAGUGCACUUCUUCUCAGGAAAUAUCUUCUGCUAAAUAUUUGGUGAAGGGAAGACAUCAGCCAGCUUCUAUCAUUUUCUUUGAUCUCUAAUUUCUGAACUGCAAUCCAACCCAUCCCCAUUGCACUCAGUAUUAUCAACUAUGAAAUUGAUUCGUCUUGUUGUUAUUUGAGAGAUUCUUCGUACAACCCUUAGUGGUCGGACCAUUCAUGAAUGAAGCUUAAGAACAAUUCUUUCAUCAAGUUCACUUAGAACAUAUCUAGGGGCGACUGCUGAUGGACCUUGGACCACAUCUUGGUUAUUAGCAAUUGGAGUAUCUAUUUAUUCUGUUGAUGCUUGCGGGGGCUGAUCAGUCAUUCCAGAUGACUUUGGUUGAUUCUUCCUAUUCUGCUCCAUAUCAAUUGCCUCACUCUCUGCCAAAUUAUCAAUAUUUUCUCGUUCAUUCUCUUCAUUUAUUCCUUCCAUUAAGAUUGCUUCUGCUGCAAGUCCAAGCUUCCUGCAGGGGGAAAACCACUGGCUUAAGUUAUCCCUUCCUCUUCCACUGACAAUAAAAACUAUAUUUUUCUUGUCCCAGCAAAGUGUGUUUAGAAUUGAAAUAACCUCCUGACUUGGAGCCUUGUUGAUGGAAUUUUGGGGCAUCACAGUGCCAUCAUAGUCCAACAGUAUGGCCCUACUCUUAGCCCUACAGUAGGCCGAAACAAUAGCCUCUAUUGAAAGCUUUCUAAAAUUAGGAUCAAGUGCUACAACUCUGAACCCAAAACUUAAACCAAUUCCCCAGCAUCUUCUCCUAAAGAGCUCUGAGCAGGUUCUCUCCAUAUCUUGCAAGAAGCUUCGUGACCAAUAAGCCACAUCAUGGGUGCUAACAUACCGAAAAUGCUUCUCAUGUCGCAGGAGUUGCUCUGAUUGAGACAUUGAAAUAGCUUCAUUCAUUGCCUCAGCAGUUGCUUCGACAUUCCAUGGAUUCACACAGAUAGCCCCACUAAGUGAAGGAGAGCAUCCAAUAAAUUCUGAUAGCACUAGCAUGCUCUUCUUGGGCCCACUCAAAUCCGAACUUGAUUCAGAAUCAUCUGUUCCUUGUCUACAAACAAUGUAUUCAUACGGCGUAAGGUUCAUCCCAUCCCUGACAGCCGUGACAACAACACACUCAGCAAUACUGUAAUAGGCAAUUCUCUCACUGAUUGAAACUGGUCUGUCAACAAAAACUAUUGGUUCAUACCCGGGCUCCCCAAAUUCUUCAUUGAUUCUUCUGCAGCUUUCCCUUAUUUCAGCUUGUAUUUCCUCUAAAUCUGCUCCUUUACCUCUUGCAGGGUUUGCAAUCUGAACCAACACGGUCUUUCCUUGCCACUUUGAGUGUUGCUGAAGCAACUGUUCCAUUGCCAAUAGCUUCAAAUUAAUACCUUUAAAAAUGUCCAUAUCAUUAACACCAAGCAACACCGUUUUCCCUUCAAACUGCUGCUUGAGCUCUCCUACCUUCUUCUCCUUAUCUGCAAGCUUCAUCACUGAAGCAAUCCGGCCCAUAUGAAUCCCAACAGGCAUAAUCUUGAUCCCCACAGUCCUUCCAUAAUAUUCCAACCCUAUAUAGCCCCUCUUUGACUGAUACUCCAAACCCAACAUCCGACUGCAACAAGAAAGGAAAUGCCGAGCAUAAUCAAAUGUGUGGAAACCAAUAAGGUCUGAGUUAAGCAAAGCCUUAAGAAUUUCUUCUCUGACAGGAAGAGUCCUGUAGAUCUCUGAAGAUGGAAAUGGACUAUGAAGAAAAAACCCCAUUCUUAACUGGUUAAAGUGCCUCCUCAAGAAAGUUGGCAAUACCAUCAAAUGGUAAUCAUGAAUCCAAACAUAAUCAUCAUCUGGGUUUAUCGCCUCAAUAACCUUUUGUGAGAAUAACUUAUUUGCCCACACAUAUGCUUCCCACAUAGACCGAUCAAACCGACCUCCAUGAUCAGCUGAAAAUGGCAACAUGUAAUGGAAAAGCGGCCAUAACAACUUCUUGCAGAAUCCAUGAUAGAAUUUCUCUAAAACAUCAUGAGGCAGAAAAGUAGGGACACAUUUGAAUGUCUCCAACAGAAUCUGGGAUACUUCCUCUUGUUCCGUCAAGUCAACAUCAACCCUCAAUGACCCAACAUACAGAACUUCCAUGUCUUCUGGCAAACCCUCCUUAAGUUGCAGAAGCAAUGAGUCUUCAUUCCAACUAAAAACCCAGCCUCUAUCAUCUGCUCUUCGGUUAGCUUUCACAGGCAACUGGUUUGCCACUAUAAUCAACCGAUCUUGAGCAACUGAAGAGGGGUUAUCAGACGACACACUAUUAGCCUGAUCAUCAUCAAGUUCAUACACAUUGCCCGGAACCGUCAUUACCCUCGGAAGCCGCUUCCGUUCUCGACCGAUUGCCGGAAAAUUCCCAGUAGCUAAAUCUAAAAGAUUGGUAUACGAUCUUGACAUCAUUUUUACACCAGCCUCAAAAGCCCAAGAUUCUUUUUCUUUUUAAAUGGACAAUUUCACCCAAUCUGCAGAACCACAAAACAAUCAAAACCCUAACCCUCUGUUUCUGAAUCAAUGAACAAUUGAAUCUUCUCUUGUUAAAGCUUUGAUCUUUAGAGUCAAAUGCAUGUCAAUUCUUGGGCUUAGAACUUUUCUGAAGAAGCAAAGAUUGCUUCUCUUUUCUGAUUCCACUCUGUUCUCAGUGCAUGCUGAAAGUCCCCUCUUCUCUAUGCCUCUCCUCCAAACCCAAUGGAUUUUAAAUUUUGGGCAGUCUUGGCUGCAAUCGCUGGGCUUCCGGCUUUCCUCUCACCUCUAAAGACAACUCCCCAGAUAAAAAUCCUCUUUUGCCCGGUCACUCCUUCUUCCUCCUUCCUUCCGAAAUCCUCCCAUGCCUUUUUUUCUCCCCACUUUUUUUUAUAUGGCAGCCCACUCUUGUAGAAUAUUUUACUUCCUUUUUUUGUUAUACGCGUGGAUAUGGGAAGUCUACAUAUGUGCAGCUUACUUGGAGAUUUUCCAAGGAUGCAGCCCCUCUCUCAUUUGGUAAGUAAUCAGAUUCUCUUUAAUCUUCUUUCCAUAUGCUCCCGGAUGUGCCUCAGCCGUGAUGUGCCCACUUUCUAUAUGCAGCCGUGUACGUCAAAGAUCUUCUCCACUGUGUGCAUUCAAAUCUCAUGCCAAAAUAAAAUAAGAAUUAAAAGCAGUAGAGGUUAUGAAAUUGAGAAUUAAAACUAAUAAAAAAAUAUAUGCAAUCAAAAACAAUAUAUCUAUCAUAGCUACACACAAACAAAUUAAGACAUCAGUUUACGCAAUUAAUGACAUCAAUCUCAUGCAAUAUUCUAUAAAAUAAAUAAAUAAAACAAAUAACUAACUAAAUGUUAAUAAAAUAAGUAGAUAAAUAAAUGAAUAGGAAAUCAAGUACAUACAAGUGUUAAAAAAAUGCAAAUCAUGCAAAUUAUGUAAGUCAUGUAGGAAUUACCGCAACGGUGACAUGAGAGGGCUAAGAUACCUAAGUGGAUCUAGUGAACCUAAAUGGGCCUAGAUGUGCCUGAAUGAGCCUAGGUGAAUCUAAGUGGGCCUAGGGUGGUGCCUAAUGGGUCAAGUGUAUCUAAAAGCUAUCCCAAAAAAAGCAAGAAAAGCCUAAGUCUAAGUUAGGGCUGCCAAGGGUCACAAUAAGGGGUAAGAUAAUCCCCUAACCAAAGUCCCCGAGGUGACUCAGAAAAAGGUAAGUUGUACGAGUAGUAAUGGACCACCAAGGAACUAUUUUGAAGCACUGAAAACGAACUUAAAGUCAUGUGCUAAAAGGACAAAAUUGAGGGUCUACACCUGGGUGUUGGAGGAAAUAGCCUAAAAAAAAUAAUGGGUAAAUAUUAGUGCGAGUAAAUUUCAUCAAAAAAAUAUUUUUUUCUUCCUCCCUAUUUUUAAACAAACAACAACUUUCUAAUGAGCAAGCAGACUAGAAUCAAAGAUGAAUGAUAUUCUCAUUGACUAUUUAGAUAUAUACCAUGUACCAUUCCUAGAACCCCCACAUACAUUUUUAUUCUCACGAUUAGUACAGUCACCCAUCUCUUUAGACCUACCAUUAGUGCAACACCCUACUUUUUCAGACCUACCAUCAGUGCAACCCUCUACCUCUUUAAACCCACCAUCAGUACAACCCUCUAUUUCUUUAGACUUACCUUCAGUUCAGGCCCCUACUUCUUUAGACCCACCAUCAACACAACCCUCUACUUCUUCAGACCCACCAUCAGUACAACCCCCUACCUCUUUAGACCUACCUCCAUUACAACCCCCUAGUUCUUCAAACCCACCAUUAGUGGAGAUUGACACAUCUACUCAGUUAGAUUUACUGUCAGCCAUUCCAAGGGGUAGGCAAGGCCUACAUCAACCUAGAUUGCUACCUCCACCACCACCUCUAUUUCCAGCUCCAGCCCCAUCACAGACAGAUGUUCUUCAUGUGUCACAUGUAGUACCUGCUAUAGUUAGAGAAGAGUGUCCAAGAAAGAGAGUACCAGUUACACAUAGGUUUUCUCCUUGUGGAGACAUGUGAGAUUAUAUAUGUUUUUUUUUUCCCACUAUAAUAAUGUUUACUGGGUAUUUUUUAUGACUUUGAUUAAAUUACUAAAAAUUACAUUUUGUAGUAGACUUCUUCUAAUUAAUUUCAUUAGCUAAUUUUGUCAAAAAAUCUAUAUAUGACAAAUGUGGAAUUUGUCAUAAUACAAAUAAAUUAAUAUCUUAAAAAACAACAAAUUAAAUAUCUUAAAUUAAUAAAUUAUACAAUUUUAUAUAUUAUUUAUAUGUUAUAUAAGUUUAUUAUUUUAAUAUUAUUAAUUUAUUAAUAAAUAAAAUAUUCAUUUAUAAUAUCUUCUAUUUAUCAAUUUAUAUUUGUUGAAGUAAUACUAUAUUCUUAAGUUUAAAUAUAAAUAAUUUAUUAUUAAAGUAUAUAUUUUUAAUUUUAAUAAUAAAUUGUAAUUUAAUAGUUUUUAAUUAAAUUUGAAAGUAAAAACAAAUUAUAAUUGAAAUCUUAGUUAGCAACUACUGCUUAAAAGUAUGUUAUUAUUUCGAUAAAGAUAAAUUUUUCAUAAUACAAAUAAAUUAAUGUCUUAAAAAAAACAAAUUAAAUAUCUUAAAUUAAUAAAUGAUACAAUUUUAUAUAUUAUUUAUAUGUUAUAUAAAUUUAUUAUUUUAAUAUUAUUAAUUUAUUAAUAAAUAAAAUAUUUAUUUAUAAUAUCUUCUAUUUAUUAAUUUAUGUUUGUUGAAGUAAUACUAGAUUCUUAAGUUUAAAUAUAAAUAAUUUAUUAUUUAAGUAUAUUUUUUUUAAUUUCAAUAAUAAAUUGUAAUUUAAUAAUUUUUAAUUAAAUUUUAAAUUAAAAAAAUUAAUUGAAGUCUCAAUUGACAAUUGCAAUUUUAGUUCAAAAAUGAAGCCGUAGUUGUCAAUUGAGACUUCAAUUUAAAAAUGAAUCAUCAAUUGACAACUGCAGCUUUAGUUCAAAAAUGAAAUCUUAGUUGCCAAUUGAGGCUUCAGUUUAAAAAUGAAGUCUCAAUUGGCAACUACGGAUUUAGUUCAAAAAUGAAGUCUCAAUUGUCAAUUGAUGUUUCAGUUCAACAAUGAAACCUCAAUUGAAAACUGUGGUUUUAAUUCAAAAACUAAAGCCUUAGUUGAUAACUGCGGCUUUAGUUCAAAAAUAAAGUCUUAGUUGUCAAUUGAGGCUUUAACUAAAAUGAUGAAAAAAAAUAUUUUUUAUAACAUGGCAUCUACGUGGGACCAAAGAGACCAAUUUGAACAUAAAUUUCAUAAAGUUGUUAGAUCCUUUUUUAAAAAAAAUAAAAUUGGUCAAUUUGACCCAAAACUCCUUUUUCAGGGUUGUUCAAAAUUCAAAAUCAGUUAGCUGAAGAACAGUAAGGAAAAGAACAUAGCUGAAUUUGCAGAAAAGUUUUUUUUUUUUCAUUUUCCUUUUUCUUCUAAGGAUCUUGGAAUCCUUUUCCUAGUAUAGACAGAACAUUAGAGGUAUAUAUAUGGUAGUGGGAAGUGAUUCUUCCCCAUAAAACAUUUUCUUUUCUAUUAAGUCAUGGGAUUCUAUCUUCAGCUUCAAGGGAUCAUAGUUUUCUAGCCUUCUGUUGCUAUCAUCUGUUUGUGGUUGAUUAAGGGCAAAGGGAACAGAAACAGAGGCAAAAGGGCACCAGAACCAUCACCGGCAUGGCUUUAAUCGGACACCUUCAUCUUGUACGAGCAGGCAAGCCCCAACAUCAAGCAUUUGGAGCCAUGGCAGAUAAGUAUGGACCAAUCUUUUGCUUUCACAUUGGCCUGCGCAAAACUUUGGUGGUUAGCAGCUAUGAAGUAGCAACAGAAUGUUUAACUACCAUGGACAAAGCAUUUUCCACUCGACCUGAUCCUUGGCAGGAAAGCUCAUGGGCUAUGGCCAUGCCAUGUUUGGCUUCUCUCCCUGCGGGCCAUACUGGCGUGAUGUAAGGAAGCUGGCCUCGGUUGAGCUCCUCUCAAACCGCCAGCUUGAGUUACUCAACCAUGUCCGGGACUCAGAAGUUAAGCUUUUCAUCAAAGAGCUCUACGGGCAAUGGAUACAAAAUGGGGACAGGCCUGUCUUGGUCGAGAUGAAGGAGAAGUGUUGGCACCUGGCAGCAAAUGUAAUGGUGAGCGCAGUAGCUGGGAAAUUUUGGCACCGUUACAAAUGACUAUGAGUCAAGACGGUGCCGGAAGGCCCUUGGCGAUUUGUUAUAUCUUUCGGGGAUAUUUAUGGUUUCUGAUGCAAUCCCCUUCCUUGGCUGGUUGGGCACUGUGAGAGGAUAUACGGCAAAAAUGAAGAGAACAGUUAGGGAGGUGGAUCAGGUGCUGGGAAGCUGGGUGGAGGAGCAUUGCCGGAAGAGGUUCUCUGGAAGCAUGAACGAGGCUGAGCAAGACUUCAACCAUGUCAUGCUGUCUGUUAUUGAGGAUGGUCAGUUCUCUGAUCAUGACCAUGACACUGUCAUUAAGGCUACUUGCUUGGUAUGUUUCUUCUUCUUUCCUUGGUCAAAUUCCAUGAACCUCCACACACUUAACAGCAAACCUCCAUCAUGAUUGGUUUUGUCCAGCUGUUACACUUGCUAUUUCAGGACUGAUGAUUAACUCUCAACUUUCUUUGAAAAAAUUUCUGGGAAUAAUGAAAACUAUGAUAAACUUUUAAAUUGUUCUACUAACAGCCAGACAUACGGUUUUUUAACACACGCUGAUCAAAGAAGCCAUAUCACCAGCUCAAAAGACCAGCAUGGAUGUAAUGUUGAUGCAAACUCUUAUAAUAGGCGGCUCUAAUUCUACGGUGAUCACACUGACCUGGGGCCCUCUCUCUGCUAAUGAACAAUCCCAGCACUCUAAAAAGAGCACAAGAUGAGUUAGACAUCAAAGUGGGAAAGCAUCGCCAAGGGGAUGGAUCAGAUAUAAAGAACCUAGUCUACUUUCAAGCCAUCGUCAAGGAAACAUUACGACUGUACCCUCCUGGGCCACUUUCCCUGCCACGUGAGGCCAUGGAAGAUUGCACUGUGGCUGGCUUUCACAUCCAAGCUGGGACGCGCCUUUUGGGUAAUCUCUGGAAGUUGCACAAGGACCCCAGAAUUUGGUCGGAUCCUUUGGAGUUCCAACCUGAGAGGUUCCUAACGAAGCAUGUGUAUUUGGAUGUUAGGGGUCAAAAUUUGGAAUUUCUGCCAUUUGGGUCAGGCAGAAGGGUAUGCCCAGGAAUCUCAUUUGCGCUUGAGGUCGUGCAUCCGACUUAUUUAAGAUCAUACAUCAGUUGAUUAUGAUCAUCUUCAUCGAUCAAAUAGAGUUCAUAUGUUGAUGCCUAUGUCGUUAUUUGAUUUGAUAAUUUUUCUUGCUUCUGCUUCAAAGUUUCUUGUUUGUGUUGAGCCUAGCUCAUAUUUUUUAGUCAACUCAGGGUAAGGGAAAAACACAAAUGGGAUUUGUGUUUUUUUUUUUUUUUUUCCACCAGCAGAAUGGUCUUAUUUGGAAGCUUGUACAAACAUAGCUUUUUUAUAUAACUAUGGGGCUAGCCACACUCCACAUGAUUUUCAAUGUACAAAUAGGCAUAAUAACAACUAGCCAAAGAGAUGGUUUUUUUCAUACUCAGAACUAUCUUAUUUUAGACUUCAAAGGUGCUUCAUAUUUUCUACCAUGCAUUGAGAGCCGUCUAUGGUUUUCAUAUUAGGAUGGCACAUGUGUGGAACAUGAAUUCCUACUUGUGAGUGUUCUAGUGUAUGUAGUUUUGAGCCAUUUUGGAGAAGUGAUUCUUCCCCCUGAUCCAUUCUCUCUGGUACUAACUAGUCAUGGGAUUCUCCCUUCAGCCUCAAGAGAUCUCAGUUUUUGGGCUUCUUGCUACAAUCUGUCUGUUGUUGGAAACAGCACUUAAUGCCAAAAGAAACAAGAUCAAGGAAGGCAAAAGGCCACCAGAGCCGUCCGGACAAUGACCAAUGGCUGACAGAUUUUUUUUCCUUUUUUUUUUUAAAUUUAAGCAAUAAGCUUUGAUGAUCUGAAAGUUUUUUGCUUCUUCAAAUUGGAAUUAUAUGUUUUUACAUUGCAUUCAUAUCUGAUACUCGUAAAGUGCAUCUUCUUCUUUUUCUUCUUGUUUGUUGUUUGAUUAUACUUUAAUCUUCAUAGAAAUCGACAUUUUCUCCCCCAUCAACUCUAGAGCUAAUCAGGAAGGUAGAACAGUUCUUGGUUUGCAGACCUCAGAAAAUCAAUUAGCUAAACAAAAACAUAGAGAAGAAAAAGAGGAGCUAAAUUUGUUGAUGUUGUGACAAACUCUCCCACCUUCUAUUUAGCGAGAAGUGAUAUGGGAAGUGAUACUGAAUCAAGUUUACAUUGCUGGUUUGUCGUGUGGUUGUGCACGAGAUUACUAGUCAUCGUCCUCCAUGCAGAGUGAGGUGUGCAUGAGAGAAUGCUCUAAUAUCUUCCUUCAUCAGGCGAUUGUGCCUACAUAUGGUUCCUUUUUAUGCCUGGAACUGGUACUUUUAGUCCACUGAACCUGUGUUAGUACCAGAAAUAACAACAUGACGAUACCUAUCAAGAAAAAUAUAAGUGACCAAGUGAGUAGACCGGCUCCCUAAGGAUUCCUCGUAGGUCUGGCAUACUUAUAUUAGACUUUCAGAGAUAAAUAAGUAAAGAGAACUUGAAACACUACGUAACAUCGAUCAAAUCAUAUUGGAGAUGAGCUUGUAAGUCUAUGUAUUGUGUGGUAGGUAAAGAGGAGGCACAACUUGGGCUGAAAGCACCCGAACUGAACUUUCCACUAACUCAUUUUCUCUUGAGCGGCUAAAAAUUGGAUCAUCAAGAGACUGCCUCAAAACCUGACCUUAACCAGUAUUAAAAUAUCAUGAUAUUUUGACAAUAUAUCGUUAAAAAUCGUGUAUAGGUGGAUCUCGACACGAAAUAUAGGGAAGAAAUAUUGGCACCUCGAUAUUUCGAUAAUUUAUUGAUUUUUCACCAAUAUUUUGAUUGGUCAAACUUCAAAAAAAUUCAAAUUUUCUACUGCUACUGAGGGGAAUCCAACCCUAGCCAAAAUGUUCACCAACCACUGAGACAUCUUCCAUUAAUAUAUUAAUUAAAUAUUAAAAAUCAUAUAUAUAUAUAUAUAUCAUUAUUUAUUUUAUAUUAUUUAAUACAAUUAAAUAAAAUGGAUUAUAAAUUUAAUUUUAAUAUUAAAUAUAUUUUUUAAUAAUCAAAUAUCACAAUAAUAUUCAAUAUAAUUUAAUAAUAAAUAUACACUUAUAAAAUAUAUAUUUAUUUAUUCUUAUAUAUAAUAUAAUUAUCAAAUAUGAUAAAUUAUAUUAUGUAUAAAAAAAUUUAAUAAAAUAAUUUUAAAAUAUCUAUUAUACUUUUAAUAUUUUUAUUUUUGAAAAAAAUCACUUUAAUCAAUUUUAUGUUUAUCAAAUAUUUUAUAUUUUAUAUUAAAAUAUCUAUCAAAAUAUAUUCAUAAAAUAAAAUUAUCAAUAUAUUUGUUAUUAUGAUACUUUCAUCCUUAUCCUCAAUCAGACUUCCAAAAAAGGUACCUCAGUGCGAAUCUACCUUAAGAUCGGGCAAAAUGGGAAACGUGGGUAAAAUGCGAAUCUACCAACCCAUGGGCCAUGGCACUUGCGGAAAAGGCUGUCAGCCCGGGACCACGCUUGUCAGCAACGUCAACGACAAAAUGAAAAGUUAAAAAGGCAAUGAACUAAAAAAGGAAAGGAGGAGGAUGGUAAUCCUUCAUUGACAAGAAAGGAAACGGAGAAGAACUAGAUUUUUGUAUCUCCAUCUUCUAAUGGGAUUCUCUCUUCAGCUUCAAGAUGUCACAGUUUUCGGCAUUCUUUUUGCAAUUAUCUGUCUGUGGUUGGUUAAUGCCAAAGGUAACAAGAACAAAGGCAGAAGCCCACCAGAGCCCUCCGGGGCAUGGCCUGUAAUGGGUCACCUUCAUCUUCUAGGAGCAGAUAAGCAAAUACAUAGGACAUUCGGAGCCAUGGCUGAUGAGUAUGGACCAAUCUUCUCCAUUCGUCUUGGCCUUCGAACUGCUCUGGUGGUUAGUAGCUCGGAAGUAGCAAAAGAAUGUUACACUACCAAGG
This 29697-nucleotide long non-coding RNA is filed under the name Vitis vinifera (wine grape). RNAcentral describes it as "long non-coding RNA (VVIN_LNC000689)". The record is from RNAcentral. Lineage: Eukaryota; Viridiplantae; Streptophyta; Magnoliopsida; Vitales; Vitaceae.